RNAcentral lists this ribosomal RNA (465 nucleotides) under uncultured bacterium. Its description in RNAcentral is "partial 16S ribosomal RNA". It matches the Rfam family "Bacterial small subunit ribosomal RNA", at positions 28 to 507 of the family's 1533-position model. The record is from RNAcentral.
GACGAACGCUGGCGGCGUGCUUAACACAUGCAAGUCGAACGGAAAGGCCCCUUUGGGGGUACUCGAGUGGCGAACGGGUGAGUAACACGUGAGUAACCUGCCCUUGACUUCGGGAUAACUUCAGGAAACUGGGGCUAAUACCGGAUAGGAAUCCUUGCUGCAUGGUGGGGGUUGGAAAGCUUCGGCGGUUUUGGAUGGACUCGCGGCUUAUCAGCUUGUUGGUGGUGUAGUGGCUUACCAAGGCUUUGACGGGUAGCCGGCCUGAGAGGGCGACCGGCCACAUUGGGACUGAGAUACGGCCCAGACUCCUACGGGAGGCAGCAGUGGGGAAUAUUGCACAAUGGGCGGAAGCCUGAUGCAGCAACGCCGCGUGCGGGAUGACGGCCUUCGGGUUGGAAACCGCUUUCAGCAGGGGCGAAGCUUGUGGUGACGGUACCUGCAGAAGAAGCACCGGCUAACUACGUG